GAGGUCUAACCUGCCCUAUGAUGGAAUUAAAUGGCCGCGGUAUUUUAACUGUGCUAAGGUAGCAUAAUCAUUUGUCUUUUAAUUGAAGGCUAGAAUGAAUGGUUGGAUGAGGUAUAAUCUUUCUUUAAUUUAAUUAUUGAACUUAAUUUUUUAGUUAAAAAGCUAAAAUAUUUUUGAGGGACGAGAAGACCCUAUAGAUCUUUAUAUAUUUGUUUAUUUUGUAUUAUGGUGAAUAAUAUGCCUUAAUAAUAUAAUUUAUUUGGUUGGGGCGACUGUAGAAUUUAUAUUAACUUCUAUUUGUUAUAAUCAAUAAUUAUUGUUUUGUUGAUCCAUUUUUAAUGAUUACAAGAUUAAGUUACCUUAGGGAUAACAGCGUAAUUUCUUUGGAGAGUCCUUAUCGAUAAAGGAGUUUGCGACCUCGAUGUUGGAUUAAAAUUAGUUGUGGGUGUAAAAGUUCACAGGACUAGGUCUGUUCGACCUUUAAAAUUUU
The sequence is a ribosomal RNA, 490 nucleotides long. It matches the Rfam family "Bacterial large subunit ribosomal RNA", at positions 1849 to 2597 of the family's 2925-position model.